This 239-nucleotide ribosomal RNA is filed under the name uncultured bacterium. Its description in RNAcentral is "partial 16S ribosomal RNA". It matches the Rfam family "Bacterial small subunit ribosomal RNA", at positions 15 to 263 of the family's 1533-position model. The record is from RNAcentral.
GAUCAUGGCUCAGGAUGAACGCUGGCGGCGUGCAUAACACAUUCAAGUCGAACGGGGCAGCAAUGCCUAGUGGCGGACGGGUGAGUAACGCGUGAGCAACCUGCCCUUGCGUGGGGGAUACCAUCUGGAAACGGAUGUUGAUACCGCAUAAAGUACAGGCGACCGCAUGGUCGUAGUACCAAAGAUUUAUUGCGCAAGGAUGGGCUCGCGUCCCAUUAGAUAGUUGGCGAGGUAACCGG